UUCUUCCUACGGGGCGCAGCAGUAGGGAAUCUUCCACAAUGGACGAAAGUCUGAUGGAGCAACGCCGCGUGAGUGAAGAAGGGUUUCGGCUCGUAAAGCUCUGUUGGUAGUGAAGAAAGAUAGAGGUAGUAACUGGCCUUUAUUUGACGGUAAAUACUUAGAAAGUCACGGCUAACUACGUGCCAGCAGCCGCGGGAAUACGUAGGUGGCAAGCGUUGUCCGGAUUUAUUGGG
RNAcentral lists this ribosomal RNA (233 nucleotides) under uncultured bacterium. Its description in RNAcentral is "partial 16S ribosomal RNA". It matches the Rfam family "Bacterial small subunit ribosomal RNA", at positions 333 to 558 of the family's 1533-position model. The record is from RNAcentral.